This is a long non-coding RNA of Epinephelus lanceolatus (giant grouper), 315 nucleotides long. RefSeq lists it as uncharacterized. Lineage: Eukaryota; Metazoa; Chordata; Actinopteri; Perciformes; Serranidae. The record is from RefSeq and is a predicted model, not a curated record.
CAGACACUGCCUCUUGCUCUGCUGGAGGUCGUUGCCAUGGAGACGUGGGGUCAGCCAGACCCUGCUCAUCAGUGUUCAGAGAUGACCUGGCACGGAUGACUUCAGCUUUCAUCUAUCGGUGUCCAGGACAAAGAGUUUUAGCAGUGCUAGUUGACCCCACAAACACAUCCCUUGGUGACCGUACUCCCCUGCAUGUCCUUCCUGCUAUGUCCGCCUCUCCGUAUCCAUUCAGAUGGGGAAUGCACUGUGCCCUCUUUGUGGGGUCAGUCCCAUCUCUGUGGCAGCUGCUCCAGGUGUCCAGCUCUACCUGCCGAC